Molecule: ribosomal RNA, 253 nt
Filed under: uncultured bacterium
Lineage: Bacteria
Description: partial 16S ribosomal RNA
Rfam family: Bacterial small subunit ribosomal RNA
Source: RNAcentral
UACGUAGGGGGCAAGCGUUGUCCGGAUUUACUGGGCGUAAAGAGCGUGUAGGCGGCCAUACAGGUCCGUUGUGAAAACUGGAGGCUUAACCUCCAGACGUCGAUGGAAACCGUAUGGCUAGAGUCCGGAAGAGGAGAGUGGAAUUCCUGGUGUAGCGGUGAAAUGCGCAGAUAUCAGGAGGAACACCAAUUGCGAAGGCAGCUCGCUGGGACGUUACUGACGCUGAGACGCGAAAGCGUGGGGAGCAAACAGG